This 452-nucleotide ribosomal RNA is filed under the name Arthrobacter sp. 4S2.A11. RNAcentral describes it as "bacterial SSU rRNA". It matches the Rfam family "Bacterial small subunit ribosomal RNA", at positions 62 to 526 of the family's 1533-position model. The record is from RNAcentral. Lineage: Bacteria; Bacillati; Actinomycetota; Actinomycetes; Micrococcales; Micrococcaceae.
UCGAACGAUGAUCCGGUGCUUGCACCGGUGAUUAGUGGCGAACGGGUGAGUAACACGUGAGUAACCUGCCCUUAACUCUGGGAUAAGCCUGGGAAACUGGGUCUAAUACCGGAUAUGACUCCUCAUCGCAUGGUGGGGGGUGGAAAGCUUUUUGUGGUUUUGGAUGGACUCGCGGCCUAUCAGCUUGUUGGUGAGGUAAUGGCUCACCAAGGCGACGACGGGUAGCCGGCCUGAGAGGGUGACCGGCCACACUGGGACUGAGACACGGCCCAGACUCCUACGGGAGGCAGCAGUGGGGAAUAUUGCACAAUGGGCGCAAGCCUGAUGCAGCGACGCCGCGUGAGGGAUGACGGCCUUCGGGUUGUAAACCUCUUUCAGUAGGGAAGAAGCGAAAGUGACGGUACCUGCAGAAGAAGCGCCGGCUAACUACGUGCCAGCAGCCGCGGUAAUAC